CAGAGCACAGGAGCUGACAGGAAGUGACCAGAGACAGAGCACAGGAAGUGACCAGAGACAGAGCACAGCUGCUGCAUGCGCUCUACUCACUGAUGAUUUCCUGAUCUUUAAAUAAAAGAAAUAAACCUGAACUCAGGUCUUGUUGGAUUCCUGCAUCCUGACCCGAUGACACCAAAAUAUGUUGCAGCCAGAAACUGAGGCGGACUCUGAAAGGUCGUUUCACUUCUCUUCACUUUAUUGAAGCGUUUAACAAAAACCCAGAACCUUCAUUCACUCUGAGUCUCUUCAGCUGCUCAAUAAUCACUACAGCUUUCUUACUAACUCAGGAGCAUCACAACAACAACACUCUUCUUCUCCUGCAUGUCACUGUCACUCACAGACUCCACCUAGUGGUGUAGAUUAUGCAGCGCAUUUAAUUAAUAACAUGUCAACAUCAACUGCUUAAAUAAUGUUGCAGUUCAGAAAAA
Long non-coding RNA from Labrus bergylta (ballan wrasse), 467 nucleotides. RefSeq lists it as uncharacterized. The record is from RefSeq and is a predicted model, not a curated record. Lineage: Eukaryota; Metazoa; Chordata; Actinopteri; Labriformes; Labridae.